GACGAACGCUGGCGGCGUGCUUAACACAUGCAAGUCGAACGGAAAGGCCCUGCUUUUGUGGGGUGCUCGAGUGGCGAACGGGUGAGUAACACGUGAGUAACCUGCCCUUGACUUUGGGAUAACUUCAGGAAACUGGGGCUAAUACCGGAUAGGAGCUCCUGCUGCAUGGUGGGGGUUGGAAAGUUUCGGCGGUUGGGGAUGGACUCGCGGCUUAUCAGCUUGUUGGUGGGGUAGUGGCUUACCAAGGCUUUGACGGGUAGCCGGCCUGAGAGGGUGACCGGCCACAUUGGGACUGAGAUACGGCCCAGACUCCUACGGGAGGCAGCAGUGGGGAAUAUUGCACAAUGGGCGGAAGCCCGAUGCAGCAACGCCGCGUGCGGGAUGACGGCCUUCGGGUUGUAAACCGCUUUCGCCUGUGACGAAGCGUGAGUGACUGUAAUGGGUAAAGAAGCACCGGCUAACUACGUG
Molecule: ribosomal RNA, 468 nt
Filed under: uncultured bacterium
Lineage: Bacteria
Description: partial 16S ribosomal RNA
Rfam family: Bacterial small subunit ribosomal RNA
Source: RNAcentral